UACUUUUUUGGUAUGUGUUCCAAAUAUUGCAUGGGCAAUUUAACUGGGUGUCCUGUAUUUUAUCUGGCUCAACUUUGUUUAGACAGCAGGGUGCACAGCUGAAAAGAUAACUUUUAUAACAUCUUUGCAGCUAGGGGUGGUCACAACAGAGUGCUUUCCUUUGGAAUGAAACUUUUCUAGGAGCAAGUACUUUGCUUCCCUCCUUGGAUUCUGGCUGGAAUUCAAAUGCAAUGCCUGGUGACACAGCAGCCAUGUUGUAACCAUGAAGUGGCUAGCUGUGUAGUAAGGCUGACAGAGCAGGAAGCCAGAAAGGACCCAGAGUCCUGAGGCUUUGGUCCUUCUUUCUAUGUUCAUAUAUAACAUUUGCAUGAAGAAGACACCCACAUCUGUUUAUGCCACUGAUAUUCAGGGCUCUCAGCUGAAUACAGUUUUAACUGAUAUAUACAGGAAACACAUACUUCAAACAAAAUCUCAUGUGAAACUCCAUAUGGGUUGAAGUUCUGGUUAAAGCAGUCUGGUAGGGAGGAAAAAGGGGACAUAGCUUCAUUGCUUGAAUGUCUGUUCCACUCCUUCUCCCUUCUCCCGGAUUUUGGGGGAUGCCCUGUGGAGCCCCUCACUUUCCAUGGAACACAUCUUUAAGCCAGGAAACCACCAACUCUUCCCCACUCUUAGUUGCAUUUUUCUCAACUCUUUAGGACAGGGGUUGAGGAGGGUGUCCUGCGGAUUGCACAAAUGCCUGCUGGACUGAUCAGAGCCCUGGAUCCUAUACCUGGAGUUGGGAGCUUCCCCCAGGGCCCUGCAGCUCCCACCCUGGUUGCUGUGCACCGCGGAAUGGGCCCGUCAGGAAACAGGAAGGCAGCCUGCUCCACUCAGGUCAUUUGUCUGCCUCCUAAUCCAGCUAAGGCACAGGCUGGAGACCUCAGUUAGGGAAGUCCCUUCCCUGCCCCCUUGGGAACACUGGCCCCACCUGGGUGCUGGUUUCACCACUUUGUUACCAAAGUCUGUCACAGACAGGCAUUGGGUGAACUUACAGCUCAGCCUGCAGACGUAGCCCCAGGGCAGCAUGGCUGGACUGAGCUGUGCACAGACGCCUGCUGCGUGCUGUGCCUCCCCUGCGGGUGGAAGUCUUGGCCCCUGGACCCGGCAUUCGAGGCCUUCCGAGACAUUCUGCCCUUGGAAUGCUUGCCUCUCAAUUGAUCUGUCCUGAGUGGCUUGUUAUUAUUUUUUAAUAUUCAAUCGGUCAUGUAUCAGUAGUUAUGCAAAAUGUGGCAAAAAUGAAUGACUGAAGAAAAAUGAAAUGGAAAAAGAAAAAAUCUGAAAAUACACAAAAGCGCACACUGUUUUGCCAUUGGAUUCAACAGACCUGAAACUAUCCUUGCAGGAGCCCCUCGGUGCCCACCUGUAGGCCACGCUCACCAGCUGCACCAGAGCUGUGCUUCCAGCACCCAAAAGCUCCCUCCCUGAGCUGCACCCAGGCCUGCUCCCCACUCUCCUCACCAGCUGCACCCGUAUCUCCCACGGCCCACCCAGGGUACUAUCGAUCCUUUAGUCCUCUUCUGCCAGUGUACCCCAUGGCCCGGGACAACCCCUAGUAUGCAAUGGCUCUUUCUUGUGGGCAAUGCAUGGAGGCACACAUCAGGGCCCUGCUUUUAAGAAGGAAGUACUGAGACCUGGGUGCCGCCUCUUCUAGGAGCCAUGGAUGCCGGGGCUUACCCCCAGAGACUGUGAAUUGAAUGGUUAGGAGGGAGCCUGCACACACCGGAGAGCUCUGAGCACCAGGCGAGUCUCCCAUGUGGCCAGGUUGGGAGCCAUCGCUGUUCAUGUGGCCAGGGCUGCCUUGCCAGAGGAACUCAUCUUACUUUGCCACCAUGAAAAUGUAACUGUUUAUCAUGUCAUGACCUCCCUUGCUACAGUCGCUCUCGUCUUUUGUGUUCUAUUUAAUUUUUUAAAAUGCUGGUGGCCCAGUCACUAAAUUUUUUUUUUUUUUUUACCACCACUCAUGGGCAGGACCUGUUACGUGAGACAUGCACCAAAGCACGGAGAGGGACAGCCACGAUCCUGCCCGGAACGGGUCUUCAGAACUGGGCAGAGCAUGGCUCCUUUUGAUGGGGGCCCCAGAACUCCUUUUCAAAGGCAAUGGCAGGACGGGAUCCACAGUGGGUGGCCCUUUGAUAAGGAGGCAUCCUCCAGCCAGAGUUGACACCACGUGGACAAGGUCUCAAUGCUGCUUAACACUGUUUUGGGUGCAGAACAAAGAGCGGUUGGAACAUUUCUCGUCUAGUCUCCCCCUCUGUACGUGUCCUGUGUUUCUAGCUUGUUCAAAGUGGUCAAAGACCCAAGGCUGGUCUGGCACAGAAGGGGUCGUGCCUACAUGUAGGGAGGCGCUGACCCUUCUGUCUCCCCUUGUAUGUCCCCAGGGACAGGACAGCCCCCUGCCUGUUGUCCCCAGUGUCCUCUGUGAAUGGGGACCAGCUGUCUUUCAGCACUAUUGACAAGAGCCAAGAUGUGGAAUCAAUCUAAGUGCCCAUCAGUGGAUGAAUGGAUAAAGAAAAUGUGGUGUAAAUACACAGUGGAACACUCUUCAGCCAUUUGAAACACAGAUAGAACUGGAGGCCAUUAUGUUAAGUGAAACAAGCCAAACAGAAAGGUAAAUACUGCAUGUUCUCGGAUGUGGGAGCUGAAGUGGAUCUUCUGAAGAUAGAGAAUGGACUGGUGUUACCAGGGGCUGGGAAGGAUUGGGAGUAGGGGGAUGAAGAGAGGUUGAUUAAUGGGUACACAAUCUCACAUAAUGUAUUGUAUGCUUUACUGAAAUAAAAACAGAAUGGUUGUAUGGGUA
RNAcentral lists this long non-coding RNA (2836 nucleotides) under Homo sapiens (human). RNAcentral describes it as "HSALNT0324963". Lineage: Eukaryota; Metazoa; Chordata; Mammalia; Primates; Hominidae. The record is from RNAcentral.